AUGGGCCCAGUAAUAGCAGAUCCUGCAAUCAUGAAAAGAGGAAAAAUCAUUUACAUAUUUGCCUAUAAUAAAACACAACUUUAUAAAACAUAAGCCAUCCAAAAGUCAUACAGAAGAACUCGAGUUAUAAACAACCAUGACCCUGCAAAAAAUGACUAUAAAAAUUUUAAGCUUCAUCAUCAAUUAUAGAUGUCUCCUUAAACAUUUAACUGUCCCAUUAUGCUGUUUGAAAAUGACAACACAGAUUUUGAAG
This 253-nucleotide unclassified non-coding RNA is filed under the name Hevea brasiliensis (rubber tree). Lineage: Eukaryota; Viridiplantae; Streptophyta; Magnoliopsida; Malpighiales; Euphorbiaceae. The record is from RNAcentral.